CCCGCAGUAGUCAUAUGCUUGUCUCAAAGAUUAAGCCAUGCAUGUCUAAGUACAUGCCGUAUUAAGGCGAAACCGCGAAUGGCUCAUUAAAUCAGUUAUGGUUCCUUGGAUCGUACCUUACUACUUGGAUAACUGUGGCAAUUCUAGAGCUAAUACAUGCAGCAGAGCUCCGACCUUCGGGAACGAGCGCUUUUAUUAGACCAAAACCAAUCGGGCCUCGUGUCCGUCUCUUGUGGUGACUCUGUAUAACUUUGGGCUGAUCGCACGGGCUCGUCCCGGCGACGUAUCUUUCAAGUGUCUGCCUUAUCAACUGUCGAUGGUAGGUUACGCGCCUACCAUGGUCGUAACGGGUGACGGGGAAUCAGGGUUCGAUUCCGGAGAGGGAGCCUGAGAAACGGCUACCACAUCCAAGGAAGGCAGCAGGCGCGCAAAUUACCCACUCCCAGCACGGGGAGGUAGUGACGAAAAAUAACAAUACGGGACUCUUUUGAGACCCCGUAAUUGGAAUGAGUACACUCUAAAUCCUUUAACGAGGAUCCAUUGGAGAGCAAGUCUGGUGCCAGCAGUCGCGGUAAUUCCAGCUCCAAUAGCGUAUAUUAAAGUUGUUGCGGUUAAAAAGCUCGUAGUUGGAUCUCAGCUCCGGCCGGACGGUCCGCCUACCGGUGGUUACUGUUCGCUGCCGAGCGUUCAGGGGGCUUCUGUCUAUGAUCUUCACCGGUUGUGGGCGGAGACCCUCACGUUUACUUUGAAAAAAUUAGAGUGCUCAAAGCAGGCGCGACGCCUGAAUAAUUGUGCAUGGAAUAAUGGAAUAGGACCUCGGUUCUAUUUUGUUGGUUUUCGGAACACGAGGUAAUGAUUAAGAGGGACAGACGGGGGCAUUCGUAUUGCGACGCUAGAGGUGAAAUUCUUGGACCGUCGCAGAC
This 923-nucleotide ribosomal RNA is filed under the name Argiope bruennichi. RNAcentral's name for it is "SSU rRNA". It matches the Rfam family "Eukaryotic small subunit ribosomal RNA", at positions 13 to 936 of the family's 1831-position model. Lineage: Eukaryota; Metazoa; Arthropoda; Arachnida; Araneae; Araneidae. The record is from RNAcentral.